CCACAAAUAAACAUAUCCCUUUAUAUAGAUAACUUUUCAUGGUGUUCUUAGACUUCCCCUUUUUUAUUCUCCACUCGCUCCUCCAGUGAGUAAUAAGAGCGGAAAAUUGUAAUGGACUUAACUGAAAUCAACUUGAUUUUCUUAGGCUCGAAAAAAAUGUGAUAAACAACAUGGAAAUGUAGGUUUACAUGGUACCGCUCCUAAAAAUACAUGUUGAUUUAUUUAAAUGUCCAUAAAUUAUUCUUUAACAGAGUACAAAAAUGGGUAUAAGCAACAGAACUAUGAAGAGUUAAACGCCUAUCUAUGUAGUGAUUGAAAGAUCUUUCAGCUGUUGGGGAUCCACCUCAGAAGGUGAUCUCGUGAGGGCACACUGUGCAGUUGUUGUUUUUGGGAAAG
RNAcentral lists this long non-coding RNA (396 nucleotides) under Medicago truncatula (barrel medic). RNAcentral describes it as "long non-coding RNA (MTRU_LNC002521)". The record is from RNAcentral. Lineage: Eukaryota; Viridiplantae; Streptophyta; Magnoliopsida; Fabales; Fabaceae.